RNAcentral lists this ribosomal RNA (856 nucleotides) under uncultured bacterium. RNAcentral describes it as "bacterial SSU rRNA". It matches the Rfam family "Bacterial small subunit ribosomal RNA", at positions 8 to 865 of the family's 1533-position model. The record is from RNAcentral.
AGAGUUUGAUCCUGGCUCAGAUUGAACGCUGGCGGAAUGCUUUACACAUGCAAGUCGAACGGUAGAGGGGGCAACCCCUUGAGAGUGGCGAACGGGUGAGUAAUGUAUCGGAACGUGCCCAGUCGUGGGGGAUAACGUAGUGAAAAUUACGCUAAUACCGCAUACGAUCUAUGGAUGAAAGCGGGGGAUCGCAAGACCUCGCGCGAUUGGAGCGGCCGAUAUCAGAUUAGGUAGUUGGUGGGGUAAAGGCUCACCAAGCCAACGAUCUGUAGCUGGUCUGAGAGGACGACCAGCCACACUGGAACUGAGACACGGUCCAGACUCCUACGGGAGGCAGCAGUGGGGAAUUUUGGACAAUGGACGCAAGUCUGAUCCAGCCAUUCCGCGUGCAGGACGAAGGCCUUCGGGUUGUAAACUGCUUUUGUACGGAACGAAAAAGCUCUUAUUAAUACUAGGAGUCCAUGACGGUACCGUAGGAAUAAGCACCGGCUAACUACGUGCCAGCAGCCGCGGUAAUACGUAGGGUGCAAGCGUUAAUCGGAAUUACUGGGCGUAAAGCGUGCGCAGGCGGUUAUAUAAGACAGAUGUGAAAUCCCCGAGCUUAACUUGGGAACUGCAUUUGUGACUGUAUAGCUAGAGUACGGCAGAGGGGGAUGGAAUUCCGCGUGUAGCAGUGAAAUGCGUAGAUAUGCGGAGGAACACCGAUGGCGAAGGCAAUCCCCUGGGCCUGUACUGACGCUCAUGCACGAAAGCGUGGGGAGCAAACAGGAUUAGAUACCCUGGUAGUCCACGCCCUAAACGAUGUCAACUGGUUGUUGGGUCUUCACUGACUCAGUACGAAGCUAACGCGUGAAGU